UACGUAGGGGGCAAGCGUUGUCCGGAUUCAUUGGGCGUAAAGCGCGCGUAGGUGGCUUCGUAAGUCCGUUGUGAAAGUCAAAGGCUCAACCUUUGAAAGCCGAUGGAUACUGUGAAGCUAGAGUACGGAAGAGGCGAGUGGAAUUCCUGGUGUAGCGGUGGAAUGCGCAGAUAUCAGGAGGAACACCAAUAGCGAAGGCAGCUCGCUGGGACGUUACUGACACUGAGGCGCGAAAGCGUGGGGAGCGAACAGG
This 253-nucleotide ribosomal RNA is filed under the name uncultured bacterium. RNAcentral describes it as "partial 16S ribosomal RNA". It matches the Rfam family "Bacterial small subunit ribosomal RNA", at positions 524 to 776 of the family's 1533-position model. The record is from RNAcentral.